This is a long non-coding RNA of Aphis gossypii (cotton aphid), 264 nucleotides long. RefSeq lists it as uncharacterized. The transcript has 3 exons. The record is from RefSeq and is a predicted model, not a curated record. NCBI's taxonomy places the organism in Eukaryota, Metazoa, Arthropoda, Insecta, Hemiptera, Aphididae.
GUAAUUUAUUAAAUUUACGUGUACGAGUAAAUGGCAAUUUUUUUUAAUUUAGUAAAAAGAGUUAGUCAAGUCUCAAUUACAAUUAUUAAAGUAUUAUUUAAGGAAUGUUGGCGACCGACCGAGGUUAUGUCAUAGAAUUAUUUGCGUAUUAAUUAGUCGUCGGCUAUUGCGAUGUAUUGAUAUCCAAUUAACAUUUGAAGAGAAUAUUUCAAAAAUACAAAUCAUCGGUCCACGCAGAACACUCGUAAUGUGAUAAUAUACCAG